RNAcentral lists this ribosomal RNA (271 nucleotides) under uncultured archaeon. RNAcentral describes it as "partial 16S ribosomal RNA". It matches the Rfam family "Archaeal small subunit ribosomal RNA", at positions 477 to 747 of the family's 1478-position model. The record is from RNAcentral.
CGUAGCCACGAGUGGGGAUCACUUUUAUUGGGCCUAAAGCGUCCGUAGCCGGCUUGCUAAGUCUUUUGUGAAAUCGUUGAGCUUAACUCAACGGCGUGCAGGAGAAACUGGUAGGCUCGGGACCGGGAGGAGUCAGAGGUAUUCAAAGGGGAGCGGUAAAAUGCUAUAAUCCUUUGAGGACCACCUGUGGCGAAGGCGUCUGACUAGAACGGGUCCGACGGUAAGGGACGAAGCCCUGGGGCGCGAACCGGAUUAGAGACCCGAGUAGUCC